UGGACCAUGCUCUUUAUUUCCUAUACAAAUUUCCUAUUCCCUCCCUCCUCAAACUCCGCAAACAUAAACAACAAACCCGUUUCUACUCUCUAUUACUUUACUGUGGCACUCUAGUCUAGUGAACUCGGGAAUCAUGGAUACCAGGUGGUCGGAGAAGACCCUCGCCACCGGCAACGGCGUUACGCUGCCGGAAAGCCCAAGAGAGCCCAUGGAGUUCCUCUCUAGAUCAUGGAGCGCCUCCGCUCUGCAGCUUUGCAAAGCCUUAGCUCCUCCGCCUUCUCUGCCUCCCAAGGCCAGCGCCGCCGCUACCACCGCCAACACCAUACCGGAAACCACCGCCGACGCCGAGCCCGAGGCGGCGGCGAAGCUCUCCGGAAACACAUUCUCCUUCGGUUCCUCUGCAACUUCUCAGCUCGUUCUUGAACGCAUCAUGUCACAGUCGAUGCAUAAUGGGCAAGAAAUAUCGCCAUUAACGUCGGGAAGGCUGUCUCAUAGCAGCGGACCGCUCAACGGUUCUCUUACAGAGGAAACCGAUAGCCCUCCCAUCUCCCCCUCCGAGGAGUUUGAAGAUGUCAUUAAGUACUUGAGAGCAAACAACACCCUCCAGCCAUUGUUCACGAACAUGAAGAACGGCAAUUCCAGCGGCGCUAACACGCCGAGCGGGAACGCCGUGAGGAAGUGGCUGAAGGAGAGGAAGGACAAGAAGAAAGAAGAGACGAGAGCGCGGAACGCGCAGGUGCACGCGGCCGUUUCGGUCGCCGGACUUGCCGCUUCGGUGGCCGCAGUCGCCGCCACCACGGCGGCGGCGUCCUCGACCGGGAAGGAUGAGGUGACCGCCAAGAAUGACAUGGCCGUGGCCUCUGCCGCAAUGCUGGUGGCCGCGCAAUGCGUGGAGGCUGCUGAAGCCAUGGGCGCUGAACGUGAACGCCUCAUGUCGUCCAUUAGCUCCGCUAUAAACGUGCGCUCCCAUGAGGAUAUAUCCACUCUCACCGCUGCUGCUGCUACAGCUCUUCGUGGAGCAGCUACUCUGAAGGCAAGGGCAUUGAAGGAAGUUUGGAACAUCUCGACGGUUAAUCCACACGACAAAGGGCAUGGAAUUGGCGCAGGUAGCAACAACAAUGGUGGCGGCUUGUAUGAGGGGGUAGUUGAGGUUGAAGAGAAUUUCUUGGGAGUGUGUAACCAAGAAUUACUGGCCCGGGGUCGUGAGCUUCUCAAGCGAACACGCAACGGUGACCUUCAUUGGAAGAUUGUGUCUGUUUAUAUUCACCAUGGUGGGAAGGUAAUCUUGAAGAUGAAAAGCAAGUACGUUGGAAAUACCAUCACCAAGAAGAAGGAAAACGUAGUGUUGGACGUCUGCAAGGACAUUCCGGCGUGGCCGGGGAGGCACCUGUUUGAGGACGGAGAGCAGCGCAAGUACUUCGGGCUGAGGACCGAGGUACGUGGACUGGUUGAGUUUGAAUGCAAGAACCAGAAGGAAUACGAGCUGUGGACGCAAGGCGUGGCAAGGCUUCUCACUAUCGCGGCAGAAAGAAGAAGGAGAUUCCGCCGAUGAAUGGACAAGAAAACAAAAAAAAAAACUAGAAAUGGGGAAGCUAGGAAGAUGAAGUUUAGUGAAUAUAUGCUUGUGUAAUGCAUUUGAAACUAUUCUAACCUUUUGAAUUUGGGUGAUCUUUGCGAUCCAAAAAAAUUCAAUCUGUCCCA
RNA transcript from Ipomoea nil (Japanese morning glory), 1701 nucleotides. It is a transcript of the gene named VAN3-binding protein-like, with no coding region annotated. Lineage: Eukaryota; Viridiplantae; Streptophyta; Magnoliopsida; Solanales; Convolvulaceae. The transcript has 7 exons. The record is from RefSeq and is a predicted model, not a curated record.